Molecule: ribosomal RNA, 1485 nt
Filed under: Salmonella enterica subsp. enterica serovar Enteritidis
Lineage: Bacteria; Pseudomonadati; Pseudomonadota; Gammaproteobacteria; Enterobacterales; Enterobacteriaceae
Description: bacterial SSU rRNA
Rfam family: Bacterial small subunit ribosomal RNA
Source: RNAcentral
GGUAACAGGAAGCAGCUUGCUGCUUUGCUGACGAGUGGCGGACGGGUGAGUAAUGUCUGGGAAACUGCCUGAUGGAGGGGGAUAACUACUGGAAACGGUGGCUAAUACCGCAUAACGUCGCAAGACCAAAGAGGGGGACCUUCGGGCCUCUUGCCAUCAGAUGUGCCCAGAUGGGAUUAGCUUGUUGGUGAGGUAACGGCUCACCAAGGCGACGAUCCCUAGCUGGUCUGAGAGGAUGACCAGCCACACUGGAACUGAGACACGGUCCAGACUCCUACGGGAGGCAGCAGUGGGGAAUAUUGCACAAUGGGCGCAAGCCUGAUGCAGCCAUGCCGCGUGUAUGAAGAAGGCCUUCGGGUUGUAAAGUACUUUCAGCGGGGAGGAAGGUGUUGUGGUUAAUAACCGCAGCAAUUGACGUUACCCGCAGAAGAAGCACCGGCUAACUCCGUGCCAGCAGCCGCGGUAAUACGGAGGGUGCAAGCGUUAAUCGGAAUUACUGGGCGUAAAGCGCACGCAGGCGGUCUGUCAAGUCGGAUGUGAAAUCCCCGGGCUCAACCUGGGAACUGCAUUCGAAACUGGCAGGCUUGAGUCUUGUAGAGGGGGGUAGAAUUCCAGGUGUAGCGGUGAAAUGCGUAGAGAUCUGGAGGAAUACCGGUGGCGAAGGCGGCCCCCUGGACAAAGACUGACGCUCAGGUGCGAAAGCGUGGGGAGCAAACAGGAUUAGAUACCCUGGUAGUCCACGCCGUAAACGAUGUCUACUUGGAGGUUGUGCCCUUGAGGCGUGGCUUCCGGAGCUAACGCGUUAAGUAGACCGCCUGGGGAGUACGGCCGCAAGGUUAAAACUCAAAUGAAUUGACGGGGGCCCGCACAAGCGGUGGAGCAUGUGGUUUAAUUCGAUGCAACGCGAAGAACCUUACCUGGUCUUGACAUCCACAGAAGAAUCCAGAGAUGGAUUUGUGCCUUCGGGAACUGUGAGACAGGUGCUGCAUGGCUGUCGUCAGCUCGUGUUGUGAAAUGUUGGGUUAAGUCCCGCAACGAGCGCAACCCUUAUCCUUUGUUGCCAGCGGUUAGGCCGGGAACUCAAAGGAGACUGCCAGUGAUAAACUGGAGGAAGGUGGGGAUGACGUCAAGUCAUCAUGGCCCUUACGACCAGGGCUACACACGUGCUACAAUGGCGCAUACAAAGAGAAGCGACCUCGCGAGAGCAAGCGGACCUCAUAAAGUGCGUCGUAGUCCGGAUUGGAGUCUGCAACUCGACUCCAUGAAGUCGGAAUCGCUAGUAAUCGUGGAUCAGAAUGCCACGGUGAAUACGUUCCCGGGCCUUGUACACACCGCCCGUCACACCAUGGGAGUGGGUUGCAAAAGAAGUAGGUAGCUUAACCUUCGGGAGGGCGCUUACCACUUUGUGAUUCAUGACUGGGGUGAAGUCGUAACAAGGUAACCGUAGGGGAACCUGCGGUUGGAUCACCUCCUUACCUUAAAGAA